CUUGUCGUAGUUCAGAGGAAAGAACGUCUGGCUUCGGACCAGAAGGUCGCAGGUUCGAUCCCUGCCGACGGCG
This is a transfer RNA of Gonapodya prolifera JEL478, 73 nucleotides long. It matches the Rfam family "tRNA". From Rfam's summary of the family: Transfer RNA (tRNA) molecules are approximately 80 nucleotides in length. Their secondary structure includes four short double-helical elements and three loops (D, anti-codon, and T loops). Further hydrogen bonds mediate the characteristic L-shaped molecular structure. tRNAs have two regions of fundamental functional importance: the anti-codon, which is responsible for specific mRNA codon recognition, and the 3' end, to which the tRNAs corresponding amino acid is attached (by aminoacyl-tRNA synthetases). tRNAs cope with the degeneracy of the genetic code in two manners: having more than one tRNA (with a specific anti-codon) for a particular amino acid; and 'wobble' base-pairing, i.e. permitting non-standard base-pairing at the 3rd anti-codon position. The record is from Rfam. Lineage: Eukaryota; Fungi; Monoblepharomycota; Monoblepharidomycetes; Monoblepharidales; Gonapodyaceae.